Molecule: non-coding RNA, 906 nt
Organism: Tetranychus urticae (two-spotted spider mite)
Lineage: Eukaryota; Metazoa; Arthropoda; Arachnida; Trombidiformes; Tetranychidae
Source: RefSeq, a predicted model, not a curated record
UUUGUUGAAUCAGUACAAUUGAGCAACAUGGACACCAACGCUAACCAAUCAUCAAUCAACCUCUCUGAGUAAAAGUCAAGUUUGAUGGUUAAUUCACCAACGGCAGCCGAUCAAUUCAGCAAACAGUGAAAAUUGGUUUUUAUCAAGUCACUAUCAACAUUGAUUACCAUCCAAUGGUUUCCCUUUUGAAUCGACAAAAGGUGAUGUACAGUAAAUUGGAUCCUUCACUAACACUUAUGUUAAUCAAGAAAGCAAUUGUUGGCGUAAACUGAAACAAUCCAUAUCGAAAGGCCCAAAUUUUUUAUUAAUAACACUUGUUACUUGUUGUUACAUUGAAUGUUACACAGUUUAUUAAGAGCUAAUUUGAUUUACUUUUAGCAGCAACAUUUUUGCUGUUCCAUAGCUUUAUUAUUGUUAUUGCUGAUCUUUUUUACCUCUCUCUCACCAUCAACUAUUACUUAUUAUAAUUUGGAAGGUUCUAUUGAUUUCCUGUAAUCAUUUGUGAUUGUAACGAAAUGAGGCAAAGAAGAGUCAACAAAAUGGAUGAAUGAAUCGGAAAUUAAUUUUAUUUUGUUACACGCAACUACAUUUCCUAAACACUAAACAAACUUUAAUCAACAAACCAAAACAAUCUUCAAUCAUCAUUAGUUAAUUAACAACAAUUUCAGUUUUCAAGCGACAUUUUCAUUAGACUCACUUAUAUUUCUUUCUCUAGCAUUUUAUGUUUCAGGUUUAAUAGGACUCAAUUAUGUAUAUUGAAAGGAUUCGUGAAGCUUCCCAAAUCAAAAUUCAAAUCUGAUCGAGGUCUAACUAAGCCUUCACCAAAGUCCUGAAGCAACAGUUGAAUCAAUUUGAAACUCAUUUACAAAUUAUGAUGACAAUGAUUACAAAGAUAAUUAUAAUGGA